Nerophis ophidion (straightnose pipefish) is the source of this 77-nucleotide non-coding RNA. Lineage: Eukaryota; Metazoa; Chordata; Actinopteri; Syngnathiformes; Syngnathidae. The record is from the annotation of a RefSeq genome assembly.
GUCAGAAUGGCCGAGCGGUCUAAGGCGCUAUGUUCAGGUCGUAGUCGCAGGCGUGGGUUCGAAUCCCACUUCUGAAA